RNAcentral lists this unclassified non-coding RNA (245 nucleotides) under plant metagenome. RNAcentral's name for it is "partial contains small subunit ribosomal RNA, internal transcribed spacer 1, and 5.8S ribosomal RNA". The record is from RNAcentral.
UCUCCGUUGGUGAACCAGCGGAAGGAUCAUUACCGAGUUUACAACUCCCGAACCCAAUGUGAACCAUACCAAACUGUUGCCUCGGCGGGGUCACGCCCCGGGUGCGUCGCAGCCCCGGAACCAGGCGCCCGCCGGAGGAACCAACCAAACUCUUUCUGUAGUCCCCUCGCGGACGUUAUUUCUUACAGCUCUGAGCAAAAAUUCAAAAUGAAUCAAAACUUUCAACAACGGAUCUCUUGGUUCUG